GAAAUUAAUAUAGUUGGUCUAACCCUGAGGUUACAAACCUUUUUAAUCACUCUAAGACUGCUGCAAUUCAUCUUCAAUAGGA
Molecule: unclassified non-coding RNA, 82 nt
Filed under: Mus musculus (house mouse)
Lineage: Eukaryota; Metazoa; Chordata; Mammalia; Rodentia; Muridae
Description: partial derived from hnRNA or mRNA fragment, or novel small non-messenger RNA without known sequence-or structural motifs
Source: RNAcentral